RNAcentral lists this ribosomal RNA (301 nucleotides) under uncultured bacterium. RNAcentral describes it as "partial 16S ribosomal RNA". It matches the Rfam family "Bacterial small subunit ribosomal RNA", at positions 509 to 807 of the family's 1533-position model. The record is from RNAcentral.
CAGCCGCCGCGGGAAUACGUAGGGUGCGAGCGUUAAUCGGAAUUACUGGGCGUAAAGCGUGCGCAGGCGGUUGUGCAAGACAGAUGUGAAAUCCCCGAGCUUAACUUGGGAACUGCAUUUGUGACUGCACGGCUAGAGUGUGUCAGAGGGGGGUAGAAUUCCACGUGUGGCAGUGAAAUGCGUAGAUAUGUGGAGGAAUACCGAUGGCGAAGGCAGCUCCCUGGGAUAACACUGACGCUCACGCACGAAAGCGUGGGGAGCAAACAGGAUUAGAUACCCGCGUAGUCCCUGUCUCUUAUAC